GGUGAGUAACACGUGGGCAACCUGCCCUGCAGAUUGGGAUAACUCCGGGAAACCGGGGCUAAUACCGAAUAACAUUGGAAACCUCAUGGUUUCCUUUUGAAAGGCGGCUUCGGCUGUCACUGCAGGAUGGGCCCGCGGCGCAUUAGCUAGUUGGUGAGGUAACGGCUCACCAAGGCCACGAUGCGUAGCCGACCUGAGAGGGUGAUCGGCCACACUGGGACUGAGACACGGCCCAGACUCCUACGGGAGGCAGCAGUAGGGAAUCUUCCGCAAUGGACGAAAGUCUGACGGAGCAACGCCGCGUGAGUGAAGAAGGUUUUCGGAUCGUAAAACUCUGUUGUCAGGGAAGAACAAGUACGGGAGUAACUGCCCGUACCUUGACGGUACCUGGCCAGAAAGCCACGGCUAACUACGUGCCAGCAGCCGCGGUAAUACGUAGGUGGCAAGCGUUGUCCGGAAUUAUUGGGCGUAAAGCGCGCGCAGGCGGCCUUUUAAGUCUGAUGUGAAAGCCCCCGGCUCAACCGGGGAGGGUCAUUGGAAACUGGAAGGCUUGAGUGCAGAAGAGAAGAGCGGAAUUCCACGUGUAGCGGUGAAAUGCGUAGAGAUGUGGAGGAACACCAGUGGCGAAGGCGGCUCUUUGGUCUGUAACUGACGCUGAGGCGCGAAAGCGUGGGGAGCGAACAGGAUUAGAUACCCUGGUAGUCCACGCCGUAAACGAUGAGUGCUAAGUGUUGGGGGGUUUCCGCCCCU
This 750-nucleotide ribosomal RNA is filed under the name Pseudobacillus badius. RNAcentral describes it as "bacterial SSU rRNA". It matches the Rfam family "Bacterial small subunit ribosomal RNA", at positions 105 to 840 of the family's 1533-position model. Lineage: Bacteria; Bacillati; Bacillota; Bacilli; Caryophanales; Bacillaceae. The record is from RNAcentral.